Molecule: ribosomal RNA, 253 nt
Filed under: uncultured bacterium
Lineage: Bacteria
Description: partial 16S ribosomal RNA
Rfam family: Bacterial small subunit ribosomal RNA
Source: RNAcentral
UACGGAGGGUGCAAGCGUUAUCCGGAUUCACUGGGUUUAAAGGGUGCGUAGGCGGUCAGGUAAGUCCGUGGUGAAAUCUCUGAGCUUAACUCAGAAACUGCCAUGGAUACUAUUUGUCUUGAAUAUUGUGGAGGUAAGCGGAAUAUGUCAUGUAGCGGUGAAAUGCUUAGAUAUGACAUAGAACACCAAUUGCGAAGGCAGCUGACUACAGGGGCAUUGACACUGAGGCACGAAAGCGUGGGGAUCAAACAGG